CCUACGGGAGGCAGCAGUAAGGAAUAUUGGGCAAUGGACGGAAGUCUGACCCAGCCAUGCCGCGUGGAGGAUGAAGGUCCUCUGGAUUGUAAACUUCUUUUCUCUGGGGCGAAAAAAGCCUUUUCUAAGGCGCUUGACAGUACCAGAGGAAUAAGCACCGGCUAACUCCGUGCCAGCAGCCGCGGUAAUACGGAGGGUGCAAGCGUUAUCCGGAUUCACUGGGUUUAAAGGGUGCGUAGGUGGGCUUGUAAGUCAGUGGUGAAAUCCCCGAGCUUAACUUGGGAACUGCCGUUGAUACUAUAAGUCUUGAAUAUCGUGGAGGUAAGCGGAAUAUGUCAUGUAGCGGUGAAAUGCUUAGAUAUGACAUAGAACACCAAUUGCGAAGGCAGCUUGCUACACGAUCAUUGACACUGAGGCACGAAAGCGUGGGGAUCAAACAGGAUUAGAUACCCUGGUAGUCCACGCCCUAAACUAUGGGUACUCGACAUCAGCGAUACACUGUUGGUUGUCUGAGCGAAGACGAUUAAGUAGUACCGACCGUACGGUAAGGUACGUAGUUCGCGAAGAGUUAGUAAACGUUAAAGUUAGUUAGUUAGUUACGGCGUUGAGACGUUGCCGACGGACGACGACGAGGGAGGAGG
RNAcentral lists this ribosomal RNA (641 nucleotides) under uncultured bacterium. RNAcentral describes it as "bacterial SSU rRNA". The stretch from base 1 to 539 matches the Rfam family "Bacterial small subunit ribosomal RNA", at positions 338 to 873 of the family's 1533-position model. The record is from RNAcentral.